RNAcentral lists this ribosomal RNA (403 nucleotides) under uncultured bacterium. RNAcentral's name for it is "bacterial SSU rRNA". It matches the Rfam family "Bacterial small subunit ribosomal RNA", at positions 28 to 420 of the family's 1533-position model. The record is from RNAcentral.
AUUGAACGCUGGCGGCAUGCUUUUACACAUGCAAGUCGAGCGGCAGCGCGGGACUCGGGCAACUGAGCUCUGGCGGCGAGCGGCGGACGGGUGAGUAAUGCAUCGGAACGUAUCCCGUAGUGGGGACAACCCAGCGAAAGCUGGGCUAAUACCGCAUAUGCUCUACGGAGGAAAGUGGGGGACUCGCAAGGGCCUCACGCUAUGGGAGCGGCCGAUGUCCGAUUAGCUAGUUGGUGGGGUAAGGGGCUUACCAAGGCGACGAUCGGUAGCUGGUCUGAGAGGAUGAUCAGCCACGCUGGGACUGAGACACGGCCCAGACUCCUACGGGAGGCAGCAGUGGGGAUUUUUGGACAAAUGGGGCAACCCUGAUCCAGCCAUGCCGCGUGCGGGAAGAAGGCCUCGG